This is a long non-coding RNA of Oncorhynchus tshawytscha (Chinook salmon), 1779 nucleotides long. Lineage: Eukaryota; Metazoa; Chordata; Actinopteri; Salmoniformes; Salmonidae. The record is from Ensembl.
AUGAGAUGAGGGACGACAUUCAUGGGGGAACAUACCACUGCUCUUUCAACAACGCAUCUUUUAAAGAUGAAGAGGAGGAGAAGGUGGAUAAAGAACAGAUGAAGACACCGGCAGUUUGAUGUUGAGUAGUAUUCACACAAGACUGGAAGUCAGAUAUAAUCCAAGUACAGAUGAACACAGCACCAACCAUAGCUUGCUUGUUAGUUUUGAUUGUCAGAGGUAAAGCUUGACAUUUUUUGGUGUGUAUUGUAUCAUUUAAGUUUCAGAGAACAAUUAAACCACUGAAUUAGCUACAUGGUUUGGUAAUUAGUUAAACUAACUUCCACCAAACCAAUAAAAAAAAUGAUGUUCAACUUGUAGCUACUUCCGAAACUGCCGACCAUGUUGGCUUAAACCCAAACGUCUUCCACACCAAUGUGUGAGGUGUUUCUCCACUACCCAGAAGCACCCAGGGGGUAUUUGAGAUCCAGUCAGGAAGGGCUGUGCCUCGCCUGUGGGAGUCACGCUACCUGUAUGGUGUGUCUGGACAUGUGUCCCAAACACUCCCAUGCUUGCCCCACGAGUGUGAGGUCAUCCCGGGGGAAAUACAGUAUAUUGGUGAGCCGGUUUCCUGUUUCAUGUUCUCAUCACAAGCUUUUUAGUUCAGGAGUAGACUUAAUGAAAGCUAGACUUUAUACCAUAGAGCAUUUAAUGCCUGGAAAAAGCCAUUUUGGAUCCAAAGAGCACCUUUUUACAUAAAAAUGUUCAAUUUUCCCUAUUCUCUCUCAUCUUUCCUGUGCUCCCGGGAUGGGCUCCUCCCUCCCCAGAGCCCCUGUGCCCUCAGAUGAGCACCAACGAGCAGCUUGGACCAGAGUCUGAGUAUCUUGUUGUCUACGAUACACAGAGAGGUAUAGAAAGUGUCAAUCACUGAGCGGCUCUUGCCUGGCACAGAUAUAGCAUACAGUAUGUUUUAAUAUGAAGGACUGCUUUCACGAACACAGAUUAAAUCUAGUCCUGGACUAAGAUACACUUUCAAUUGAGAUUCUCCAGCGAGCAGGAUUUAAGUCCAGGACGAGGCUUACUCUGUUUCUACUAUGGCAGUGGUUCUCAAAGUGGGGUCCGUGGACCUCUGGGGCCAGAUGUCAAAAUACAUUAUUUUUUAUAUAUAUUUUUUUUACAUCAGAUUUAAAAAAAAAAUGUUUUACUAAUAACAGAUUAAACAAGUUUUGGCCAAGAGAUACUUGAAAUAAAUUUAGAGGGUAUAAUACAAUAUAAUAUGAUUCAUCUCCAAUUUAGAUUCUUAUCCCUGGGCAGGCUCACAGGAAUAUUGGUAUCCACAGUACUCCACCAAUUAUACAUUUCUUCCCUGACCCCUGCUGCUGUCUCUUUCUCUGGGGCUGAUGACACCACUCUGCUGUUCGAGGGACGCUUCGAGUGUGGCAACUUGCUGAAAGCAACAAGAGUGUGAGGAACACCCGUGUGUAGGUGCGUUACCGCUUCAACAUCGCCAAACUGCUGAAGGUGACCAGCCUGUAUGAGGAGGGGAAGCUGCCCCUGCUCUACUCUGAGGAGAAGGCCCAGGUCCAGGGGGUGGGCUGGCAUCUUGUGGGUCAACAGGCCUCCUACCAAUGUAACGGGUGCCAGCACAACAACCAGCCCAGCUACACCCUCUCCUGGAUCUUCUGCUUCCCUUACUGCCAGAUGAACGUGGUACCUUCAGGUGUUUGGAAAUUGCUCCCAAGGAUGAAUCAGACUUGUGGACGUCUUUUGAUUUCCCCAUGAUGUCAAGCAAAUAGGCAC